This 460-nucleotide ribosomal RNA is filed under the name uncultured Rhodocyclaceae bacterium. RNAcentral's name for it is "bacterial SSU rRNA". It matches the Rfam family "Bacterial small subunit ribosomal RNA", at positions 923 to 1382 of the family's 1533-position model. The record is from RNAcentral. Lineage: Bacteria; Pseudomonadati; Pseudomonadota; Betaproteobacteria; Rhodocyclales; Rhodocyclaceae.
GCACAAGCGGUGGAUGAUGUGGAUUAAUUCGAUGCAACGCGAAAACCUUACCUACCCUUGACAUGUCCGGAAUCCCGAAGAGAUUUGGGAGUGCUCGCAAGAGAGCCGGAACACAGGUGCUGCAUGGGCUGUCGUCAGCUCGUGUCGUGAGAUGUUGGGUUAAGUCCCGCAACGAGCGCAACCCUUGUCAUUAGUUGCCAUCAUUUGGUUGGGCACUCUAAUGAGACUGCCGGUGACAAACCGGAGGAAGGUGGGGAUGACGUCAAGUCCUCAUGGCCCUUAUGGGUAGGGCUUCACACGUCAUACAAUGGUCGGUACAGAGGGUUGCCAACCCGCGAGGGGGAGCUAAUCCCACAAAGCCGAUCGUAGUCCGGAUCGCAGUCUGCAACUCGACUGCGUGAAGUCGGAAUCGCUAGUAAUCGCAGAUCAGCAUGCUGCGGUGAAUACGUUCCCGGGCCUU